UACGUAGGGACCAAGCGUUGUUCGGAUUUACUGGGUUUAAAGGGUGCGUAGGUGGGUAGGUAAGUCAGUGGUGAAAUCUUCGAGCUUAACUCGGAAACUGCCAUUGAUACUAUUUAUCUUGAAUACUUUGGAGGUAAGCGGAAUAUGUCAUGUAGCGGUGAAAUGCUUAGAUAUGACAUAGAACACCAAUUGCGAAGGCAGCUUACUACACAGUUAUUGACACUGAGGCACGAAAGCGUGGGGAUCAAACAGG
Molecule: ribosomal RNA, 253 nt
Filed under: uncultured bacterium
Lineage: Bacteria
Description: partial 16S ribosomal RNA
Rfam family: Bacterial small subunit ribosomal RNA
Source: RNAcentral